GGGGUUCAUUAUUUGUUUUCAAGAGCUUAGGUGCAAGUAAGCAGCCCUACAUUCAACCAUAUUUCUUACUCUUCUAUCCAUGAAGUGUUUUCAAAUACUGUCUUUUUCUCUUGACAGAUGCCAUCCGAGGAAAAAACUCUUGACACGGCAUUGUGAAUAUUACUGGUUUUGCUACCACAACAUGCAAAAUAUGGUGUGGGUGAGAGGCCAAGAUCCGUGGAAUUAGAGGAUUUGCGGAGCACCUACUUUCAGCCUACAACUCCGCCGGCUCCGCGAGCUGAGUCUGGGAGCGGAGGGACACCGAACACUCCCAUAUUACCGUCUCUAUGCAGCAACAUGACGACAAUGGCAUCCCACUUUUGAAAAUACAACUUGAGCAACACCGCAUACAUUGUGUAUCUAUUUAAUUCAUAUACUUGGGAUUGUUUUCUUUUAUAUUAAAAUAAA
Molecule: long non-coding RNA, 447 nt
Organism: Triticum aestivum (bread wheat)
Lineage: Eukaryota; Viridiplantae; Streptophyta; Magnoliopsida; Poales; Poaceae
Exons: 3
Source: RefSeq, a predicted model, not a curated record